RNAcentral lists this long non-coding RNA (415 nucleotides) under Lotus japonicus. RNAcentral describes it as "long non-coding RNA (LJAP_LNC000191)". The record is from RNAcentral. Lineage: Eukaryota; Viridiplantae; Streptophyta; Magnoliopsida; Fabales; Fabaceae.
AAUCAUCUAAAGAACCUACUUGCUUCAAAGAUAACAACAAUUCAAAAGGAUUUUGUAUCAUAGAGGGUUGGAACCUUCUUACCACAGCCAAUUUGAAUGCUUCCCAUGAUGGUGAUGGAUUGCACCUCUCCCACCAUUGAAACCAACUGAGAGCUCUUCCUUCCAAAGCCACCAUAGUUGCCUGCAUCCUUUCUUCCUCAGUUACCUCCCUCAGAGCAAAAUAACGCUCCAAUUUCUGAGUCCAACCAACUGCAUCAGAUCCAGAAAAGACUGGGAUUUCCAAUUUCCUCCAUCGAUUCUUGAUAGGAACUCGAUUUCGCUCCUCUCUGCUCCUUCUUCCAUCGGUUUCGUCUUCCUCAGAGAAAUCCCGAUCGUGAUUCUCCAACCUUGCUCGCAGCGCUGCAAUGAGAUCCUC